This 1355-nucleotide ribosomal RNA is filed under the name metagenome. Its description in RNAcentral is "bacterial LSU rRNA". It matches the Rfam family "Bacterial large subunit ribosomal RNA", at positions 1592 to 2925 of the family's 2925-position model. The record is from RNAcentral.
CCCCUGACGCAAACUGCCGAGAAAAGCUUCGUGGACCAGGACUAUCGUCGACCGUACCGUAAUCCGACACAGGUAGGCGAGGCGAGCAGCCUAAGGGGCUCGAGUGAUUUACGGAAAAGGAACUCGGCAAAAUUACCCCGUAACUUCGGGAUAAGGGGUGCCGGCAGUAUGUGACUCGUCAAGAGGAGCAGAGACCGGCCGCAGAGAAUCGUCCCAAGCGACUGUUUAGCAAAAACACAGGUGUGUGCCAAGGCAUUGUCCAAGCCGAUGUAUACACACUGACUCCUGCCCGGUGCCGGAAGGUUAAGGCAAGCGGUUAGCCGCAAGGCGAAGCUGCGAACCGAAGCCCCGGUAAACGGCGGCCGUAACAAUAACGGUCCUAAGGUAGCGAAAUUCCUUGUCGGGUAAGUUCCGACCUGCACGAAUGGAGUAACGACUUGGGAGCUGUCUCUUCCGUAAGCUCGGCGAAAUAGCAGUAUCGGUGAGGAUUCCGAUUACCCGCGACAGGACAAAAAGACCCCGUGCACCUUUACUACAACCUGUCAUUGAACGUCGGUAUAACCUGCGUAGCAUAGGUGGGAGCCGUUGAUCUGCCGGUUUUGGCCGGUAGGGAGGCAACAGUGAAAUACCACCCUUGUUUUACUAACGUUCUCACUCAGGCGGCAACACCGCCGAGGACCGUGACUGGUGGGUAGUUUGACUGGGGCGGUCGCCUCCUAAAGAGUACCGGAGGCACGCUAUGGUGGGCUCAGUGCGGUCGGUAAUCGCACGACGAGUGUAUAAGCAAAAGCCCGCCUGACUGCGAGCGCGACGGCGCAAGCAGGGACGAAAGUCGGCUUAAGUGAUCCGGUGAUCCCGUGUGGAUGGGUCAUCGCUCAUCGGAUAAAAGGUACGCUGGGGAUAACAGGCUUAUCGCGCCCGAGAGUUCACAUCGACGGCGCGGUUUGGCACCUCGAUGUCGGCUUGUCACAUCCUGGGGCUGGAGAAGGUCCCAAGGGUCCGGCUGUUCGCCGGUUAAAGUGGCACAUGAGCUGGGUUCAGAACGUCGUGAGACAGUUCGGUCUGUAUCCGUCGUGGGCGUGGGAGUGUUGAGGGGCGUCGUCUUUAGUACGAGAGGACCGAGACGAAGCGACCGCUCGUGUACGGGCUAUCCUGCCAAGGGUAUCGCCCGGUAGCGAUGUCGCGCGGAGAUAACCGCUGAAAGCAUCUAAGUGGGAAACUCUUCCCAAGAUGAACACUCCUGGACCAUAAGGUCCCUGAAGGGCCCUGGGAGACUACCAGGUUGAUAGGGCGCAGAUGUACGGGGAGCAAUCCCUUCAGUCGAGCGCUACUAAUCGCCCGUGAAGUUUGAUCUC